AGAGUUUGAUUAUGGCUCAGAUUGAACGCUGGCGGCAGGCCUAACACAUGCAAGUCGAGCGGUAGAGAGAAGCUUGCUUCUCUUGAGAGCGGCGGACGGGUGAGUAAUGCCUAGGAAUCUGCCUGGUAGUGGGGGAUAACGUUCGGAAACGGACGCUAAUACCGCAUACGUCCUACGGGAGAAAGCAGGGGACCUUCGGGCCUUGCGCUAUCAGAUGAGCCUAGGUCGGAUUAGCUAGUUGGUGAGGUAAUGGCUCACCAAGGCGACGAUCCGUAACUGGUCUGAGAGGAUGAUCAGUCACACUGGAACUGAGACACGGUCCAGACUCCUACGGGAGGCAGCAGUGGGGAAUAUUGGACAAUGGGCGAAAGCCUGAUCCAGCCAUGCCGCGUGUGUGAUGAAGGCCUUAGGGUUGUAAAGCUCUUUUACCCGGGAUGAUAAUGACAGUACCGGGAGAAUAAGCUCCGGCUAACUCCGUGCCAGCAGCCGCGGUAAU
RNAcentral lists this ribosomal RNA (496 nucleotides) under uncultured Gammaproteobacteria bacterium. RNAcentral describes it as "bacterial SSU rRNA". It matches the Rfam family "Bacterial small subunit ribosomal RNA", at positions 8 to 524 of the family's 1533-position model. The record is from RNAcentral. Lineage: Bacteria; Pseudomonadati; Pseudomonadota; Gammaproteobacteria.